RNAcentral lists this ribosomal RNA (510 nucleotides) under uncultured bacterium. Its description in RNAcentral is "partial 16S ribosomal RNA". It matches the Rfam family "Bacterial small subunit ribosomal RNA", at positions 28 to 507 of the family's 1533-position model. The record is from RNAcentral.
GACGAACGCUGGCGGCGUGCUUAACACAUGCAAGUCGAACGAAGAGCGAUGGAAGCUUGCUUCUAUCAAUCUUAGUGGCGAACGGGUGAGUAACGCGUAAUCAACCUGCCCUUCAGAGGGGGACAACAGUUGGAAACGACUGCUAAUACCGCAUACGAUCUAACCUCGGCAUCGAGGAUAGAUGAAAGGUGGCCUCUACAUGUAAGCUAUCACUGAAGGAGGGGAUUGCGUCUGAUUAGCUAGUUGGAGGGGUAACGGCCCACCAAGGCGAUGAUCAGUAGCCGGUCGGAGGGGAUGAACGGCCACAUUGGGACUGAGACCCGCCCCAGACCCCUACGGGAGGCAGCAGUGGGGAAUCUUCCGAAAUGGACGAAAGUCUGACGGAGCAACGCCGCGUGAGGGAUGACGGCCUUCGGGUUGUAAAGCUCGGUUAAUCGGGACGAAAGGCCUUCUUGCGAAUAGUUAGAAGGAUUGACGGUACCGGAAUAGAAAGCCACGGCUAACUACGUG